RNAcentral lists this unclassified non-coding RNA (300 nucleotides) under uncultured Magnaporthaceae. Its description in RNAcentral is "sequence contains 5.8S rRNA gene, ITS2". The stretch from base 1 to 71 matches the Rfam family "5.8S ribosomal RNA", at positions 84 to 154 of the family's 154-position model. The record is from RNAcentral. Lineage: Eukaryota; Fungi; Ascomycota; Sordariomycetes; Magnaporthales; Magnaporthaceae.
GUGAAUCAUCGAAUCUUUGAACGCACAUUGCGCCCGCCGGUAUUCCGGCGGGCAUGCCUGUUCGAGCGUCAUUUCAACCCUCAAGCCCAGCUUGGUGUUGGGGCACCCGGUCGCCUUACGGCCCCGGGGCCCUCAAGCAUAUCGGCGGUCUCGUCGGGACUCUGAGCGCAGUAACUCGCGGUAAAACGCGCCUCGCUUGGUCCGUCUCCGGCGGGUUCCGGCCGCUAAACAACCCCCCUUCUCAGAGUUGACCUCGGAUCAGGUAGGAAUACCCGCUGAACUUAAGCAUAUCAAUAAGCG